GGCCUACGGGGGGCAGCAGUAGGGAAUUUUCGUCAAUGGGGGGAACCCUGAACGAGCAAUGCCGCGUGAGUGAAGAAGGCCUUCGGGUCGUAAAGCUCUGUUGUAAGAGAAAAACGGUAAUGAUAGGGAAUGAUCAUUAAGUGAUGGUAUCUUACGAGGAAGCCACGGCUAACUACGUGCCAGCAGUCGCGGUAAUACGGAGGAUGCGAGCGUUAUACGGAUUUAUUGGGGUUAAAGGGUGCGCAGGCGGCCUGUUAAGUCAGCGGUAAAAGACCGGGGCUCAACCCCGGCGAGCCGUUGAAACU
This 305-nucleotide ribosomal RNA is filed under the name uncultured bacterium. RNAcentral describes it as "bacterial SSU rRNA". It matches the Rfam family "Bacterial small subunit ribosomal RNA", at positions 335 to 634 of the family's 1533-position model. The record is from RNAcentral.